RNAcentral lists this long non-coding RNA (1014 nucleotides) under Sus scrofa (pig). RNAcentral's name for it is "lncRNA (ENSSSCG00070026934.1)". Lineage: Eukaryota; Metazoa; Chordata; Mammalia; Artiodactyla; Suidae. The record is from RNAcentral.
CGACGGACUGCAGGCAGGAGAACCAAGGGAAGGAAGAGAAGCGGUAAGGAGAGUGUCCUCAGGAAGGCGGAGAGGAGAACCCGAAACACCGGUGCGGCGGCUGGUUGGUAUCGCCUCCCUACCCACCCCCGCUCCCGUUUCUGUGUCUCUUCGUGUCUCUCUUUCUCCCCUUUCUCUGAAUAUUUGUCCCCUUGUCUCUGCCCUCACCCCUUUGAGACUCCGGCCCCUUCUAAGUCUCUGCGCUCCUUUUGGGUCUCUGUCCCAUUGUUCUAUGAAUCUGUCCCCCCCCUCCUUCAGAGGCUUCCCCCUCUUCUCUCUAAGCCUAAGUCUCCUCCCCCACGACCGCGUCUCGGUCUCCGCAUCCACCCCGUCUCUUUCUCUUGGCUUCUGUACCUUUUGCUAGGACUUGGGUCUCUGUUCCCUGCAACCUCUGCCCCUCUUUGUGACUCUGUCCUCCACUCCCCCCACUCCACUCCCCCCACCCCCACCCCAGAGUGUGUUCCCUCCUCACUCUGGGUCUCUGCCCUUCUUCCAUCUGGGUCUCUGUCCUCGCCCUUGUUCUUUGACUACCUCCCGCUCUGUGUCUUUCUCCCGUCCUCCGUCUUCCCCCCCUCCGCCUUCCCCCCUCCUCCGUCUCCCCCUCCCCGUGCCUGCCUUUUCUUUUUACGUCCUUUGUCCCUUUCCCUUCCCUGGGUCUCCACACACCCCCAUCCCGUGCCUCUUUCAUCCUUUUCUGAAUCUCUGCCCCCUUGUUCUGGGUCUCUUUUCCCACUUUCAUUGGGACUCUGUCCUGCCGUCCUUCAGUCUCUGUCCCUCUCUCUCUGGAUCUCUGUCCCGUUCUCUCAGGCUCCCACCCCAUCACCCCCCUUAACCCUCAUCCUGGCCCGGACUCGAGGCUGCGUCACUGCAGAGAGUGGCAGAAGUGCGACCUGUCCUGCGGACCAGGGAGGUAGUUUUCCCUCAACUCUCCCACCCCCGAUCCAGUAUCUUCGGGCAGCCUUCAAGCCCCCAUGA